UACGUAGGGUGCGAGCGUUGUCCGGAAUUAUUGGGCGUAAAGAGCUCGUAGGCGGUCUGUCGCGUCGGUCGUGAAAACUUCGGGCUUAACCCUGAGCUUGCGGUCGAUACGGGCAUGACUGGAGUUCGGCAGGGGAGACUGGAAUUCCUGGUGUAGCGGUGAAAUGCGCAGAUAUCAGGAGGAACACCGGUGGCGAAGGCGGGUCUCUGGGCCGAUACUGACGCUGAGGAGCGAAAGCGUGGGGAGCGAACAGG
Molecule: ribosomal RNA, 254 nt
Filed under: uncultured bacterium
Lineage: Bacteria
Description: partial 16S ribosomal RNA
Rfam family: Bacterial small subunit ribosomal RNA
Source: RNAcentral